Molecule: long non-coding RNA, 659 nt
Filed under: Homo sapiens (human)
Lineage: Eukaryota; Metazoa; Chordata; Mammalia; Primates; Hominidae
Description: long intergenic non-protein coding RNA 2814
Source: RNAcentral
AGACUUUGUGAGCCUGUGUCUUGCCUGGGCAUGCACAUGGCUUUCUAAAUUCUCUCGUAACAGCUGCUUUUGAGUGUCCUAAUUUCCCAAAGAGUCUUACUCCAGCUUCUCAUCUGGGCCUUAGAUGGUCUACUCUAUGGCUCCACUCAAAAUCUCUUGCCCAGGCCAUGAGCCUAUAGUGAUCUUGCAGCUUUUAUUAACAGUGUCCACUUAUUUUUCCAGCUGUGUUCUGAGUUAGGUAACACAGAUUAUUUACAAGGAGGAAAUUGGAACAAGGCUGGCUGCUGUGUUUCAAGACAAAGACUGCUGCCACACCGGGGAGAGGAUGGGGCCAGGGCUGCUGUGUAUCCUGGGACCAUCUGCAAGGACACUCUACUGCAGGUGCCUGAUCAGACUUCAAACUGAUAUUUUUGUUGAGAAGUUGAAAGAGGGAGAUUGUAAACGGGCCCAAAGUCCUUCUGGAGAAAAACUACUGUGAGGGAAAAUUUUAGCAGGAGGAAAGAUUUUGUCAGGCUGAAUUGAUCCAGUUGUGUUUCCAGGGCAUCCAAGCCUCUCCCUGCGGCCCUGGCCCGCCUCCUCCCCAUGCACCAGGCUCUGGCUCCCGGGUACUCCUCCUGCCAUGGGGCCCACGCAGCAGCUACAAUGCAUGCUUUGUUCAG